This 400-nucleotide ribosomal RNA is filed under the name Bathyfauvelia sp. 225 PB. Its description in RNAcentral is "partial 16S ribosomal RNA". It matches the Rfam family "Bacterial large subunit ribosomal RNA", at positions 1959 to 2597 of the family's 2925-position model. Lineage: Eukaryota; Metazoa; Annelida; Polychaeta; Phyllodocida; Polynoidae. The record is from RNAcentral.
GCAUAAUCAUUUGCCUUCUAAUUAAAGGCUAGUAUGAAAGGAUAAACGUAAUUCUCUCUGUAUCAUUAAUUACCCCCUAAAAAUUAACCUACAGGUGAAGAUGCCUGUAUUAUUAUGAAAGACAAAAAGACCCUAUAGAGUUUCAGUGCUCCCCCCCCCUUAUUAUUACACUUUAGUUGGGGCGACUAAGGGUUUCCAAAACCACCCUGCCAAAUUCAGAAAAAUAAUUCUUAACACAGAUCCAACCACUUGACCUAUAAAAUAAACUACCUUAGGGAUAACAGGCUUAUCUUCCUAAAGAGACCAAAUCAACAGGAAGGUCUGGCACCUCGAUGUUGGCUUAGAGCAACCCAUUAAUGCAAACGUUAAUCUAGUCAGUUUGUUCAACUGUUAAAUCUCU